GAUGAACGCUGGCGGCGUGCUUAACACAUGCAAGUCGAACGAUGAUCCGGUGCUUGCACCGGGGAUUAGUGGCGAACGGGUGAGUAACACGUGAGUAACCUGCCCUUGACUCUGGGAUAAGCCUGGGAAACUGGGUCUAAUACCGGAUAUGACUGACUAUCGCAUGGUGGUUGGUGGAAAGCUUUUGCGGUUUUGGAUGGACUCGCGGCCUAUCAGCUUGUUGGGGGGUAAUGGCCUACCAAGGCGACGACGGGUAGCCGGCCUGAGAGGGUGACCGGCCACACUGGGACUGAGACACGGCCCAGACUCCUACGGGAGGCAGCAGUGGGGAAUAUUGCACAAUGGGCGCAAGCCUGAUGCAGCGACGCCGCGUGA
This 375-nucleotide ribosomal RNA is filed under the name uncultured bacterium. RNAcentral's name for it is "bacterial SSU rRNA". It matches the Rfam family "Bacterial small subunit ribosomal RNA", at positions 28 to 404 of the family's 1533-position model. The record is from RNAcentral.